This 450-nucleotide ribosomal RNA is filed under the name uncultured bacterium. RNAcentral describes it as "partial 16S ribosomal RNA". It matches the Rfam family "Bacterial small subunit ribosomal RNA", at positions 329 to 795 of the family's 1533-position model. The record is from RNAcentral.
UUCCAGACUCCUACGGGAGGCAGCAGUGGGGAAUAUUGCACAAUGGGGGAAACCCUGAUACAGCGACGCCGCGUGAGCGAGGAAGUAUUUCGGUAUGUAAAGCUCUGUCAGCAGGGAAGAAGAAUGACGGUACCUGAAGAAGAAGCACCGGCUAAAUACGUGCCAGCAGCCGCGGUAAUACGUAUGGUGCAAGCGUUAUCCGGAUUUACUGGGUGUAAAGGGAGCGCAGGCGGUUCUGCAAGUCUGAUGUGAAAGCCCGGGGCUCAACCGCGGGACUGCAUUGGAAACUGCAGGACUGGAGUGUCGGAGGGGUAAGCGGAAUUCCUGGUGUAGCGGUGAAAUGCGUAGAUAUCAGGAGGAACACCGGUGGCGAAGGCGGCUUACUGGACGAUGACUGACGCUGAGGCUCGAAAGCGUGGGGAGCAAACAGGAUUAGAUACCCCGGUAACC